This 491-nucleotide ribosomal RNA is filed under the name uncultured bacterium. Its description in RNAcentral is "bacterial SSU rRNA". It matches the Rfam family "Bacterial small subunit ribosomal RNA", at positions 29 to 521 of the family's 1533-position model. The record is from RNAcentral.
AGCGAACGUUUGCGGCGGGCCUAACACAUGCAAGUCGAACGCACUAGCAAUAGUGAGUGGCGCACGGGUGCGUAACACGUGGGUAAUCAACCCUUCAGCUUGGGAUAACGACUUGAAAGGGUCGCUAAUACCGGAUACGGCGAGAGAGGCUUCGGCAUUUCUCGAGAAAGCCUCGCAAGGGGCACUGAAGGACGAGCCUGCGGCCCAUCAGCUAGUUGGUGAGGUAAGAGCUCACCAAGGCGAAGACGGGUAGCUGGUCUGAGAGGAUGAUCAGCCACACUGGAACUGAGACACGGUCCAGACUCCUACGGGAGGCAGCAAUGGGGAAUAUUGCGCAAUGGGCGAAAGCCUGACGCAGCCACGCCGCGUGAGUGAUGAAGGCCUUCGGGUCGUAAAGCUCUGUGGGGAGAGACGAAGAAAGCCCGUGAAGAGCGGGCCUUGACGGUAUCUCCUUAGCAAGCACCGGCUAACUCCGUGCCAGCAGCCGCGGU